AACAAUUCUCUUACUGCCCAACCUAUAAGGUGUAACUGAAAAAUGAAAAACUCAUCCAGCUAUCUCUGCACACACUCCCCUUUAUUAGUGGAAUAUUAAUUCCUAUUUAUUAGUGGAAUAUUAACUCCCUAUGCCAGCUAGACAAUCAUUAUUUUUCUGCAUCCCCUUUCUUAUUCUUUCUCACAUAUACUUGCCAUUGCUUAGGCCCCACCUCAUCUCUAUUUACUAAGAGAUCCCCCUCAUCACUUGUGGGGCCCAGCCCAUUCCUAUCAGAUUGUGAUUCUGUUACAGAUUGUUGCUAACAUUGCUCAGGUUGUAAUUGAUGAGAUUGGACCUUAUGAUCAUGAUUGGGUUACACGGAAACAGAUUUUCCUCCUUGUUGAUGUUGUUUCCUAUUGUAUGGUCUAUUAAGAAUCACCAUAUAGGAUUUGUCGCAUUGUAUUCAUUGACCUUCUUCUUUGCAAAUUUAGGGUCAAAUCUACCACAUUUGUUGUACUAGCAAGGACAGAGUAAAGCAGAUGUAGGGUACCCAACAAGUAUUGGGGUGAAAUUUUUUUUGAUUCUGUUGGGUGUAAUUAACAUUUUGGACUUCCUUUUUACUUUCUUGGGGCAUGGUCACUCUCUCUCUAACGGUUUCAGAUCUUCCUUUACUUUCCAAUUUUGAUCAAUGAAAAUAUGCGUCGUUCAAACAGCCGUUAUCUCUCCUGUUUUGGACGCACUUUCUCACUCUGUUGAUCGAUCAUGGCUUUUUUUGUUUGAGUGGCUUUGCUUCUUCUCCGGUGUUUGUCAAGCAAUUUAGUUCUUACUAAUAGAUUAUAAGAGUAGCUUCUAUUCCCACCGACAAUCCUUCUGGUGGUGUCCUUUUCCUACAUAUGAAUCAUAUUAGUGAUAUCUUCUUCUUCUAUUGAUGGUUAUUCUGACGGUGUCUUUCAUUUUCGUCACUCACUUUAUUUUGGCAAUUUUUCCUAGAUAGACUGGCCCCAUCUUUGUCCCAUAUGUACUGAUCUUGUCUUUCUCUCCAUGAAGCAUUCUCUCUCCUUGAAGCAUAUUCAAGUUUAAAUAUUGAGUCUCUGAUAUUAUUGGUUUGAAGCUUUUAAAUGCAGUUUUUUAGAAGAACAGACCUUACUUUGUUCAAUUGCUUGCUAUGAAUUUCUCUGCUGCUAAUGAUUAUUUCAGCUAUAUGGCUAGACUAUAUUUAUAACAAUUCUCUCCGAUUUCAACUGCACCCAGACACUCCUAUAGACAUCAAGACCAAGCUUGGAGAUUUUAAAGGUGUUCCCGUAGAUUAUCGAAGAUACCAAUGGCUGGUCGAGAAACUUAUUUAUUUGUACUACACUUGCUAGAUAUUGUCUUGAUUGUUACAAUGGUGAGUCAAUUCAUGCAUUCUUCAUAUGAAGAAAAUCUAGAGGUUGUUCAUAGGAUUAUUUGGUGCCUAAAAGGUAUAUCAGCAAAAGGUCUACUCUUUGGGAAAACUGAAAAAACAGGAUUUGAAGUGUACACAGUUGUGAAUUGAGCAGACUCUAUUACUGACAGAAGCCCAACAUCAAGAUAUUGUAUCUUUCUUCAACAAUAAUCUCAUUCUUCAACAAAAAGAUGCACAAUUGGUGCUCCAUCGCAAUCUUAAAAUUGAGGAAGAAUACUGGUACAAAAAAUCUAGGUUGAAUUGGCAUAUGCAUGGCGAUAGAAAUACUGAGUUUUUUCAUAUAAUAGCUAGAUACCGCGGUGUCAUGAAGCAAAUUUCUGUUCUAAGGCAUGGUGAAAAUCCUCUCACCAAUCCUCAGAUAUUGAGCAUCAUGUUUCUGAUUUUUACCAGACUUUGGAUGUGGCUAAGGAUACAUUCAAGGACAAAUUGACCACACUUUAUUCACAAAUUCUCCCCUGAUGGGAAAUUUUCUGCCCCGAUUGUCCAUGUUUAUGAUAUUGUCCUCAAUGUAGAUGAUACAAUUGAAAUGGGAAGAAUAAAAAAGAAACUCACUGAAGACAUUGAAAUAAAGGAUUUAGGAUCCUUGAGAUAUGUUCUUGUAUGGAGGUUGCUCGAUCGAAGAACGGAAUUAUAGUUUCACAACAAAAAUACAUUCUAGGUCUAUUGAAGGAAACAAUAACGAGUGGUUGUCAGCUGAAACCCCAUGGAUCCUAAUACAAAACUUUGGGGAGAAGGAGGUGUUCUUGUUGACACCAAAAGAUACCAAAGAUUGGUUGGUAAGUUAAUUUACUUGUCUUACACUAGACCUGACAUCACCUUCUCAGUCAUUAUUGUGAGUCAAUUUAUGCACUCUCCUUAUGAGGAAUAUCUUGAGGCAGUCUAUUUUUUAAGAAGACUUGUAAAAGAAAUGUCUAUCUUUAUGGAUGCAGACUGGGAAAGUUCAGUUAGAACAGAAUAUCGACCUCUAGAUAUUGUACCUAAUCUUGUGACAUGGAGAAGCAAAAAACAAGGAGAUGAAGCAAAAAGUAGUGCAGAAGCCAAGUUUAGGGCAAUGGCUCAAGGAAUUUGUGAAGGACUAUUACAGAGCCCUUGAAGAACUUAAGAUGAAAAUUGAGCUUCCAUUGAAAUAUAUUCUGACAGUAAAGCCGCCAUUAGCAUAGCCCACAACCUAGUUCAACAUGAUAGAACCAAACAUAUUGAAAUUGAUUGUCAUUUCAUAAAGGAGAAUUAGAUACAUGAAUCAUAUGUCUACCUUUUAUGACUUCACGUCAACACAUUGCAGAUAUCUUAACCAAGAGCUUGACCAGACUCGUCCUUGAACACUUGAUAACCAAGUAGGGCAUGAUAGAUAUCUAUCUAUACACCAACUUGAGGAGGGGUGUUGAAGAACCCUUGACUCUCUUUUUUUAAUAAUGCAACUUUUUAUUUUUAUCUUAUGAUAUGUUUUAUUUUUGUUUCCUAAAAUUGCUCCUUGAUUCAAGGAAGAGAACUCUCGUAGUCUCUCUAUUUAAACCAGCCUUAGGCUGAUGAAUAAACACAACAGCAUUACCCUACUUUUCUUACAAUAUCUUUGCACCAAUUUGAGGAGCGUGAAUAAAUUAAGAAUGUCAGGAUUUUAUUAUGACUUUAAAUAAAUUACAAAGAUAAAAUCCUAGAGUUAAUGUAAGGAUUAAUCAAAUUCUAAGUCCGGGGAUUUACCUUCCCUCUUAACCUUCCUUUUUUAUUCUUCAUGUAAGGAUUAAUCAAAUUCUAGGUCUGUGGAUUUACCUUCCUUUUUUUAUUCUUCAGGGUUCUAAUUCCUUUGAUUAAGGGAUUUUUCUCCCUGUGUUAUUUCAAUUGAACUUAUACUUCUCAACUGUUACCAAUUGAAUCAACACAGCAAAUAUUUCUACACUAUUAAAAAAAAUCUAUACAUCUAUUCUUCAACCAGAACCCACUGGGUAGCAAGACUAAAAAAACAUAUGCCACAGGAAAGAUCAUGCAGCAUUUCAAAUAUUAUAAGAUACACCAAAUUUUAUCCUUGAAUAUUCAUAUACCUUAUUGUGAAUCCCACUGUCAGAAAUAUUUACCAAUUGCAGAACACAUGCUGAAAUCUCUGCAUCGAGUAUCUCAUGUGAUUCUCCACUGUAAUAAAGAAACCAUAGAUAACUUCACAUUUAAUUUCCCAAAAGUGCUUAGUUUUCAGCAACUGUUUUAGCAAUUACCUAAAACCAGACAUCUGCUUUGUCUUGAGUAUUGCAGCAACUAUGUGUGUGAACCAAGCAAGUUUGGACUCUGUUAUAGAAAGUUCAUAACUAUCCAUGGGGAUUUGGAGAUUUGCUUCCUUCUACACAUAAAUAAAUAAAAUAUAUAGUACAAAAUCAGAAUGUUUUAUGACAAUUGUACAAAUAACCUGAAAAACUUUAUGAAGAACCGCCACUAAAAGAAUACCAUAUAGCUUUGCAUGAUAGGCUCCACUAUCUUCAUUAAGUAUGAACUGCAACCUUCAUACUGAAAUUCAACGAAUCAAUAAAGAAGUCAAAAGUAAAGACGGUUAUUCGGAGAAUAAACUCCAUGAUAUUCUAAGAAUAUAAUUUUGUAUACAUAAUAACAUGAAACUCAGGAGAAGAAUGAAAAAGCAUGAACCUGAAAUCUACAUAGGUAAGGAAAAAAUUCAAGCUGAUCUUGAAGUACUUCAACAUUGUCAAGUGGGUCUUCACCGAGUUCAUCAGAUAGUUCAGACUGUAGUAAAUGGAUGAAUAAAGGUCAAAGUGAGAAAAAUACUUGACUCACUUAUGUAUAUCUGUAAAGAGUAUAGAAGCACCUGACCUGUAAUGAAUCAAAUCUCGAUGACACAAAACAUUCUAUAACUUUAGGGACAUAUUCCUCUAGCAGGUUAGGUUUGUCACUCUUGAGAUAGCGCACAGAUGUCACUGAUUUAGACCAUAAAUUUAGAAGGUAGUAAACACUGCUGCCAGCCCACUGAGGUAAACGCCGGCAAUUCCACCUUCUUCGCAGCUAAACGAAACUCAUCUAACGGCGAGGGAACUGCUGUAAUAUUGUCUUGAACCGCCGUCAAAGCCCUCUGAAUUUCAGAACCAAUGAAGUCACGUAACGACUCAAUGCUGUCCUCCACACGUCCCAAACGCUCCUCCACUCUGGUGAUUCUUGCGUCCAUUCUGGUUAGCAUGAACGUAGCAGGUCGGACCAAUUGAUAGAGCAGAGAUAAGAUAGAAUUAGAUGAAAAGAAUUAUUGUAUUAAUUGAUAAGAAAACAGAAAAUGAUUCCAGAGCUAAUGCUCCUCAGUUAGAGAAAACAAUUCUCUUACUGCCCAACCUAUAAGGUGUAACUGAAAAAUGAAAAACCCAUCCAGCUAUCUCUGCACACACUCCCCUUUAUUAGUGGAAUAUUAAUUCCUAUUUAUUAGUGGAAUAUUAACUCCCUAUGCCAGCUAGACAAUCAUUAUUUUUCUGCAUCCCCUUUCUUAUUCUUUCUCACAUAUACUUGCCAUUGCUUAGGCC
Molecule: long non-coding RNA, 4923 nt
Filed under: Cicer arietinum (chickpea)
Lineage: Eukaryota; Viridiplantae; Streptophyta; Magnoliopsida; Fabales; Fabaceae
Description: long non-coding RNA (CARI_LNC002965)
Source: RNAcentral